GUCAUUAUCGCCGUCCGGUUUGUCAGCACCGCCGAGGGGAAACACUUGAAUAACUUUUCCUGCUAAUGUAGCAUAUAGUGAAUCUCAAUACUGUUUGACAGGGGCUUUCGAGUAACUUUUGUUCGCUUUCAGAGAAUUUGUUUGUUCGCCGAAGAUCUCUGAGAAGACAAGUUGUAGAAUUUUUAAAGCCUAAAUUGUAGCUGGGAUCCAAGAGUGCGCGGACGUCGGAGAACACUGACCAGAGAUGGAUCUAGUGAAGGUGUGUAUGGCCGUGGUGCUGCCUCUGAUGGUGUACUGUGUGUGUGAACCCGGGCUUCAGGCCUGUGAGUGGGAGUCUUGGGGUGUGUGGAGCUCCUGUACCAGAACAUGUGCUGGGCUGAGAACCAGAACACGGAAGAUGUGCUGUGGAGUUCAUGUUCCAGACUGUAUCGGUAAAUGUCGCCGACCCAACACGUCUGUGGAGACAGAGCCAUGUGCGACACACUGCCCCAAUGGUGGAAGUUACAUUGAUGGCUACUGUCACUGUCCUCCUCUCAGAUAUGGAAUUUGUUGUGAACGAGACGAGACGGCUGCGCGUGGUGGCUGUGCCCGACACUGCACGUGGCUCAACUGGUUGUCAUGGGG
Molecule: long non-coding RNA, 624 nt
Organism: Haliotis rubra (blacklip abalone)
Lineage: Eukaryota; Metazoa; Mollusca; Gastropoda; Lepetellida; Haliotidae
Exons: 3
Source: RefSeq, a predicted model, not a curated record